This 624-nucleotide ribosomal RNA is filed under the name Holhymenia tibialis. RNAcentral's name for it is "partial small subunit ribosomal RNA". Lineage: Eukaryota; Metazoa; Arthropoda; Insecta; Hemiptera; Coreidae. The record is from RNAcentral.
UUAAUUUGUUUAUUGUUGAUUGAGAUUGAUCCUGUCUUUUUGAAUUGGUUGUUAGGUAGUAUUAAAUAUAAGUUUUUGCGAGUUCGUUAAUUAUCUAUCUUAAGGAUAAUAAUUAAUUUUAUUUUUAGUUUUUUAUUUUAGGUCUAAUUAUGUAAUUAUAUAUCUAGUUAAUUUAUUUAAAGUUGUUGAAUGUUGUGCCAGCAUACGCGGUUAUACAGCUGACUUUAAUCAAUUUUAUUGGUGUUCAUUAAUUUAUUUAUUUUGAUGAUUAGUUUUUAUUUAUAAGGUGAAAUUUUUAAUUUAUUUACUUAUUUUGGUUUACAAGAAUUUAUGAGAAAUUUAGGUUUUAAACUAGGAUUAGAUACCCUAUUAUUCUGAAUGUAAAAUUUUAACCAUAGUAUUAGUAGUUAUGAUCUUUAAAUUAAAAGGAUUUGGCGGUAAUUUAGUCUUUUCAGAGGAACCUGUUCUGUAAUCGAUAAUCCACGUUGGAUUUAACUUUAAUUUUGGUUUGUAUAUCUCUGUCAUUGAAUGUUUUAUUAGGAUAUUUUCUUUUAUUAUUAUUUAUUUAAUGUCAGGUCAAGGUGCAGUUAUUUUAAAGGUAGAGAUGGGUUACAUUUAAUGCUA